RNAcentral lists this long non-coding RNA (1685 nucleotides) under Homo sapiens (human). RNAcentral's name for it is "HSALNT0348748". The record is from RNAcentral. Lineage: Eukaryota; Metazoa; Chordata; Mammalia; Primates; Hominidae.
GCCAACUGCAGCAGCAGCGGGCCCAGCCUGCCCCGCAACAGCCAGCGCGGCUCCUGGAGGGAAACGAGCAAGGCGGCCCCGCAGGUGUGGCGCGGCCCUGGGAGGGCGCGUGCGAGCGCUGCUUUGUUUGGUGCCCGCACAGCCCCGGGCUCCAGGCCUGAGCGCCAACCUUCCCGAGCUGAGUCACGGCUGCAGAGCCCGAGGGCGGCCAUACGGCCCCGCCCGGAAGGAUGAGGCCCCUUCCUGAAGCUGGCGAGUCCGAUGCGGUGGCAGGGACAAAAGCCAGGGGAAGGUGGCUUCUAUUCUACAAAGCCCUUUAGGGAAGGGGGGAGUCAGGCCGCCCUCACCCAGUGCAGGUCCGUCACGAUGGUCACCCAGAGCACUCACGCAGAAAGCCAGCUUGCAGCCGCCAGCCCUGAGGAUGCCGCCCCCAAAGGGCUCAUUGCUCUAAUCACCCGUCCAGGGGCUUGAGGCAAAGCUCCAAGACAGACCUGUAGCAGCAUGGCCCAAAAAGUUCCUCUGCUGCCCCAGUCCCAUACCUGCCUGAGGUACGGGGGUUCAGGCUGAGUCGGCUGACCUGGAGUCAUCUGGAAGCCUUGUCAGAAAUGCAGAUUCUGCAGUGCUGUUCCCAGAGGAUGAGAUUCAGCAGAACUGGGUGUUGGAUAUUAUAUGAAGAGAUUUGCAAGUGUUAUUUUACGUAAUUCGCACUUUACAAAGGAGGAAACUGCAGCGCAGGUACCAAGGUUGCCCCAUCUCGGUCCAGGCCUGCUCCCGGCGAGCCACUCGCCCUUGACCACGCCUCCUCUCUCCUGAUUGGCUGUCAGGCAUGAGUCAGAAGGAAGCCAUCUGCAACCCAAGGAGAGAGCUCUUGCCAGACUCUGACCCUGCUGGCAUCUUGAUCUUGAUUUUGGAUUUUCUAGCCUCCAGAUCCAUGAAAAAAUAAAUUCCUUUCCUGAUGUUUAUAAUAUUUUGUUAUGGCAGAUUAAGCUCACUAAGACAAUAAUCAAAGACCUAUAAAACCGUGAACUUCUUGAGACAAUGAGGAUGCCUCUAACAGACUUGGGAAGAAAUCCUGCACAAAGAGCUGGGGAAAAAAGGGAAGAAAAGCACAUAGAAUACUCCUUCAAGGCAGGCAUUGGCAGACCUUCCACCGUGCACCAGGCUCUGUGCUAAGAUUCACCCUGGAGUAACCCUGCCUCUGGGGGUGAAGUUGCUAUAUCUGGCUGCGUUUUGGCCAGCCGACCCUCUAGGCAGCCCUUAAUUCUUGCUUCUCAAACUUACUUCCAAGGACAGAGAAAGAUGACCACUGCCCUCACCCCACUAAAGAAGCCCCAGCACUUAGCAAGCACUUAUGGCCCAGAGCAGACUGUCUCUACUUCAUUUCACUCUCCACACCCAGACUUGGACCACACUUGGAAAAGAACCAGCCAGUCCUGGAGGCUGCAUAUUGUGGAUAGCAGGACUCCACUCACAUCUCAAAGCUCCUCCCUGCCCAUUCCCAUGGUCCCUCCAGCCCUUGGGCAAUACUACCAAUAAGAAGGAGAAAUGAGCUGGAUUUCACUUCCUUUGGAGCAGGUGUGAAUAAACAGAAUUGUCCCAAACUUGGGCAGCAGAAGUGGGGAAAGAAGAAAGGCAACCGGCCAGGCGCGGUGGCUCACGCCUGUAAUCCCAGCAUUUGGGGAGGC